Molecule: long non-coding RNA, 1202 nt
Organism: Cavia porcellus (domestic guinea pig)
Lineage: Eukaryota; Metazoa; Chordata; Mammalia; Rodentia; Caviidae
Source: Ensembl
AAUAUUUUCGCCUCACUGACGAGGUUUCAUAUAAAGCAAAAAUGAAAAUAAAUACCCUGCGGUUCCUCUGCAGAAUUCCAAAAGGAGAAACACGAUUACUUUUGAACAGGUAGCUGUCCUUCCUGGUCCCUAAUAUCAAAACGUAGCUCCCAAUCCAAGCCCUGGACCAUAUUGCAGUCUUCUAUACAGAAUAAAUUCCCUUUUGAUAUCUGGGGGCUUUUUUUCUUUUUUGAAAUAGGGUCUCCAUAUGCAGUCCAUCCUCAUCUCGGAUUUCUGGCGAUACUGCGGCUUCAACCUCCCAAAAGUGCUGGCAUUACAGGCGCGCGCCACCACGCCCCACGACGUCCAGAGAUUUAAAAAACGUUUUCUCUCCACUAACUGAGCAGGGAAAAUAUGUACUAUUCACUCUUUAGGAAAUCUCAACUCUGUUCCACCACACACCGGUGAUUACUUUCAGCUUAUUCCAGCCUUGAAGCACAAUCAGGAAGAUCGGGGAUCCUCCAACCCUCCUUUUUCCUGCGCUGUUUCCUCCGCCACACGAGGACCCCACUACUCCUCUUUCAAAGCUCUCCAAGCAGCUCGUGGCUAGCGCUUCCGCUAGAAUCCCCCAUCUCUUCCACACAAUCUGGGUUGUUUUUCUCGGAAUCUGGAGCAUCUACGUGACGCUAAUCCUGGACUAAGCGUGAGGAAAGAGAACAGAUGUUGGAGAUUGCAAUACAAGCUGCGGAGCCACCGGCAAUAAUUUGUGCAAGACAGAUAGUAGAGGUCUCCCGCAACCGCUCAGCACUACAAGAGUGCACUGACCAGAAGGCCCCAGGUGCAUGCGCCCCUAUGCCCUGCCCCCUCCCGGAACCUCUAUACCCAUUGGCUCGGAGGCUGGGGGUGUAGCUUUUCGUCGUCGUGCGGAGGUCACGUGGCCCACGGGGGUGGAGCUGUGCGGCCGCCUCCUAACUGGACUGAAAGGGUUUGCGUAUCCGCCCUCGUCGGCCCCGAGAGCGCGGCCUCCCCCUCACCGGUUAGCGUCAAGGGAGUUGCUCCGAGUUCUCGUAGCCCUCUCAGACUCGCUUUCUUUCCCUCUGGAAACUAAACCUCCUGAGCCCUUGCUGCGAAGCCUACGGCCGCCUGGAAGCCGGAUCCGAGUGUUCGCCAGUAACCGGAAGUGCCUCCCGCAGGCCGAGGGGCGGCUCCGGGGGCUGCUGUAA